AAGAGUUGCAAAACUCCCACAACCAUCUGCUGAACGUACCACAUGCAGUUGCUUCGGCGGGCGCCCCUCCGGGAGCCGACCGGCCCGGCCGGACUGCCGUACAACUCUUAUUAGAACCAUUACCAUCUGAUUACUAUACUUAAUAAGUAA
RNAcentral lists this unclassified non-coding RNA (150 nucleotides) under soil metagenome. RNAcentral describes it as "partial internal transcribed spacer 1". The record is from RNAcentral.